RNAcentral lists this ribosomal RNA (457 nucleotides) under uncultured bacterium. RNAcentral describes it as "partial 16S ribosomal RNA". It matches the Rfam family "Bacterial small subunit ribosomal RNA", at positions 338 to 795 of the family's 1533-position model. The record is from RNAcentral.
CCUACGGGAGGCUGCAGUGGGGAAUAUUGCACAAUGGGGGAAACCCUGAUGCAGCGACGCCGCGUGAGUGAAGAAGUAUUUCGGUAUGUAAAGCUCUAUCAGCAGGGAAGAAAUAAAGUCCUUCGGACUUUGGACGGUACCUGACUAAGAAGCCCCGGCUAACUACGUGCCAGCAGCCGCGGUAACCAGUAGGGGGCAAGAGUUAUCCGGAUUUACUGGGUGCAAAGGGAGCGUAGACGGCAGCUCAAGUCUGAAGUGAAAUACCAUGGCUUAACAAUGGAACUGCUUUGGAAACUGUGCAGCUGGAGUGCAGGAGAGGUAAGCGGAAUUACUAGUGUAGCGGUGAAAUGCGUAGAUAUUAGGAGGAACAACAGUGGCGAAGGCGGCUUACUGGACUGUAACUGACGUGGAGGCUCGAAAGCGUGGGGAGCAAACAGGAUUAGAUACCCGGGUAGUC